CAGCCGCCGCGGUAAUACGUAGGGUGCAAGCGUUAAUCGGAAUUACUGGGCGUAAAGCGUGCGCAGGCGGCUAUAUAAGUCAGAUGUGAAAUCCCCGGGCUCAACCCGGGAACUGCAUUUGAGACUGUAUGGCUAGAGUGCGUCAGAGGGGGGGUAGAAUUCCACGUGUAGCAGUGAAAUGCGUAGAGAUGUGGAGGAAUACCGAUGGCGAAGGCAGCCCCCUGGGCCAAUACUGACGCUCAUGCACGAAAGCGUGGGGAGCAAACAGGAUUAGAUACCCCUGUAGUCCCUGUCUCUUAUU
RNAcentral lists this ribosomal RNA (301 nucleotides) under uncultured bacterium. RNAcentral describes it as "partial 16S ribosomal RNA". It matches the Rfam family "Bacterial small subunit ribosomal RNA", at positions 509 to 808 of the family's 1533-position model. The record is from RNAcentral.